GACGAACGCUGGCGGCGUGGAUUAGGCAUGCAAGUCGAACGGUAUCAUCCUUUCGGGGGUGAGAGAGUGGCGAACUGGUGAGUAACACGUAGGUUAUCUACCCUUAAGACGGGGACAACCCAGGGAAACUUGGGCUAAUACCGGAUGAGAGUGCGAGAGAUUGCAUUUAAAAGGAUGGCGAAAGUUGUCGCUUAGGGAUGAGCCUGCGGUCUAUUAGUUAGUUGGUGAGGUAAGAGCUCACCAAGGCGAUGAUAGAUAGGCGGCCUUAACGGGUGGUCGCCCACACUGGGAUUGAGAUACGGCCCAGACUCCUACGGGAGGCAGGCAGUCGAGAAUAGUCUACAAUGGCCGGAAGGCUGAUAGUGCGACGCCGCGUGAACGAGGGAGCCCUUCGGGGUCGUAAAGUUCUUUUCUAUUACGAGCAGUGCUAUAUAUAUGGAUAGUAUAUAUAGAGGGAUAGUAGUAUAGGAAUAAGCAACGGCUAAACUCCGUGCCAGCAGCCGAC
RNAcentral lists this ribosomal RNA (505 nucleotides) under uncultured bacterium. RNAcentral's name for it is "bacterial SSU rRNA". It matches the Rfam family "Bacterial small subunit ribosomal RNA", at positions 28 to 518 of the family's 1533-position model. The record is from RNAcentral.